CCUACGGGGGGCUGUAGUGGGGAAUAUUGGACAAUGGGGGCAACCCUGAUCCAGCCAUGCUGCGUGUGUGAAGAAGGCCCUCGGGUUGUAAAGCACUUUCAGUGAGGAAGAACGCCUGGUGGUUAAUACCCAUCAGGAAAGACAUCACUCACAGAAGAAGCACCGGCUAACUCCGUGCCAGCAGCCGCGGUAAUACGGAGGGUGCGAGCGUUAAUCGGAAUUACUGGGCGUAAAGCGCGCGUAGGUGGCUUGAUAAGCCGGUUGUGAAAGCCCCGGGCUCAACCUGGGAACGGCAUCCGGAACUGUCAAGCUAGAGUGCAGGAGAGGAAGGUAGAAUUCCCGGUGUAGCGGUGAAAUGCGUAGAGAUCGGGAGGAAUACCAGUGGCGAAGGCGGCCUUCUGGACUGACACUGACACUGAGGUGCGAAAGCGUGGGUAGCAAACAGGAUUAGAUACCCGGGUAGUC
Molecule: ribosomal RNA, 465 nt
Filed under: Vreelandella stevensii
Lineage: Bacteria; Pseudomonadati; Pseudomonadota; Gammaproteobacteria; Oceanospirillales; Halomonadaceae
Description: partial 16S ribosomal RNA
Rfam family: Bacterial small subunit ribosomal RNA
Source: RNAcentral